Molecule: ribosomal RNA, 520 nt
Filed under: uncultured Glomus
Lineage: Eukaryota; Fungi; Glomeromycota; Glomeromycetes; Glomerales; Glomeraceae
Description: SSU rRNA
Rfam family: Eukaryotic small subunit ribosomal RNA
Source: RNAcentral
AGCAGCCGCGGUAAUUCCAGCUCCAAUAGCGUAUAUUAAAGUUGUUGCAGUUAAAAGCUCGUAGUUGAAUUUCGGGGUCAGUAAGUUGGUCGUGCCACUGGUAUGUACUGGCUUUACUGAUUCCUCCUUCUUGUAGAACCGUAAUGCCAUUAAGUUGGUGUUGCGGGAAAACAGGACUGUUACUUUGAAAAAAUUAGAGUGUUUAAAGCAAGCUAACGCUUGAAUACAUUAGCAUGGAAUAAUGAAAUAGGACGAACGAUCCUAUUUUGUUGGUUUCUAGGAUUGACGUAAUGAUUAAUAGGGAUAGUUGGGGGCAUUAGUAUUCAAUUGUCAGAGGUGAAAUUCUUGGAUUUAUUGAAGACUAACUACUGCGAAAGCAUUUGCCAAGGAUGUUUUUAUUAAUCAAGAACGAAAGUUAGGGGAUCGAAGACGAUCAGAUACCGUCGUAGUCUUAACCAUAAACUAUGCCGACUAGGGAUCGGAUGAUGUUAAUUUUUUAAUGACUCAUUCGGCGCCUUAC